CUUGCUGGGCGGAUUAGUGGCGAACGGGUGAGUAAUACGUGAGUAACCUGCCCUUGACUCUGGGAUAAGCCUGGGAAACUGGGUCUAAUACUGGAUACUACCUCUUGCCGCAUGGUGGGUGGUGGAAAGGGUUUUACUGGUUUUGGAUGGGCUCACGGCCUAUCAGCUUGUUGGUGGGGUAAUGGCUCACCAAGGCGACGACGGGUAGCCGGCCUGAGAGGGUGACCGGCCACACUGGGACUGAGACACGGCCCAGACUCCUACGGGAGGCAGCAGUGGGGAAUAUUGCACAAUGGGCGGAAGCCUGAUGCAGCGACGCCGCGUGAGGGAUGACGGCCUUCGGGUUGUAAACCUCUUUCAGUAGGGAAGAAGCGAGAGUGACGGUACCUGCAGAAGAAGCGCCGGCUAACUACGUGCCAGCAGCCGCGGUAAUACGUAGGGCGCAAGCGUUGUCCGGAAUUAUUGGGCGUAAAGAGCUCGUAGGCGGUUUGUCGCGUCUGCUGUGAAAGCCCGGGGCUCAACCCCGGGUCUGCAGUGGGUACGGGCAGACUAGAGUGCAGUAGGGGAGACUGGAAUUCCUGGUGUAGCGGUGAAAUGCGCAGAUAUCAGGAGGAACACCGAUGGCGAAGGCAGGUCUCUGGGCUGUUACUGACGCUGAGGAGCGAAAGCAUGGGGAGCGAACAGGAUUAGAUACCCUGGU
This 700-nucleotide ribosomal RNA is filed under the name Kocuria sp. A1. Its description in RNAcentral is "bacterial SSU rRNA". It matches the Rfam family "Bacterial small subunit ribosomal RNA", at positions 79 to 791 of the family's 1533-position model. Lineage: Bacteria; Bacillati; Actinomycetota; Actinomycetes; Micrococcales; Micrococcaceae. The record is from RNAcentral.